AUUUUUUCCUGUAGCAAUACAGGUAAACGUCUAGCGGCGAACGGGUGCUUAACACGUGGGCAAUCUGCCGAGAAGUGGGGGAUAGCUCGCCGAAAGGCGAAUUAAUACCGCAUGUGAUCAGAGUGGACAUCCAUUCAAAAUCAAAGUCGGGGCAACCUGACGCUUCUUGAGGAGCCCGCGGCCUAUCAGCUAGUUGGUGAGGUAACGGCCCACCAAGGCUUUGACGGGUAGCUGGUCUGAGAGGACGACCAGCCACACUGGGACUGAGACACGGCCCAGACACCUACGGGUGGCAGCAGUCGAGAAUUUUUCUCAAUGGGGGAAACCCUGAAGGAGCGACGCCGCGUGGAGGAUGAAGGUCUUCGGGUUGUAAACUCCUGUCAUUUGGGAACAAUGCGCAAAUAUUAACUGUAUUUGCGUUGAUAGUACCAGAAGAGGAAGGGACGGCUAACUCUGUGCCAGCAGCCGCGGUAAUACAGAGGUCUCAAGCGUUGUUCGGAUUCAUUGGGCGUAAAGGGUGCGUAGGCGGCGCGGUAAGUCGGGUGUGAAAUCUCGGGGCUUAACUCCGAAACUGCAUUCGAUACUGCCGUGCUUGAGGACUGGAGAGGAGACUGGAAUUUACGGUGUAGCGGUGAAAUGCGUAGAUAUCGUAAGGAAGACCAGUGGCGAAGGCGGGUCUCUGGACAGUUCCUGACGCUGAGGCACGAAGGCCAGGGGAGCAAACGGGAUUAGAUACCCCGGUAGUCCUGGCAGUAAACGGUGCACG
Molecule: ribosomal RNA, 766 nt
Filed under: uncultured Verrucomicrobiae bacterium
Lineage: Bacteria; Pseudomonadati; Verrucomicrobiota; Verrucomicrobiia
Description: bacterial SSU rRNA
Rfam family: Bacterial small subunit ribosomal RNA
Source: RNAcentral